GAUGAACGCUGGCGGCGUGCCUAAUACAUGCAAGUCGAGCGAACAGAUGAGGAGCUUGCUCCUCUGACGUUAGCGGCGGACGGGUGAGUAACACGUGGAUAACCUACCUAUAAGACUGGGAUAACUUCGGGAAACCGGAGCUAAUACCGGAUAAUAUAUUGAACCGCAUGGUUCAAUAGUGAAAGACGGUUUUGCUGUCACUUAUAGAUGGAUCCGCGCCGCAUUAGCUAGUUGGUAAGGUAACGGCUUACCAAGGCAACGAUGCGUAGCCGACCUGAGAGGGGGAUCGGCCACACUGGAACUGAGACACGGUCCAGACUCCUACGGGAGGCAGCAGUAGGGAAUCUUCCGCAAUGGGCGAAAGCCUGACGGAGCAACGCCGCGUGAGUGAUGAAGGUCUUCGGAUCGUAAAACUCUGUUAUUAGGGAAGAACAAAUGUGUAAGUAACUAUGCAUGUCUUGACGGUACCUAAUCAGAAAGCCACGGCUAACUACGUG
RNAcentral lists this ribosomal RNA (497 nucleotides) under uncultured bacterium. RNAcentral describes it as "partial 16S ribosomal RNA". It matches the Rfam family "Bacterial small subunit ribosomal RNA", at positions 28 to 507 of the family's 1533-position model. The record is from RNAcentral.